Molecule: ribosomal RNA, 216 nt
Filed under: uncultured Glomus
Lineage: Eukaryota; Fungi; Glomeromycota; Glomeromycetes; Glomerales; Glomeraceae
Description: partial 18S rRNA
Rfam family: Eukaryotic small subunit ribosomal RNA (bases 37-216)
Source: RNAcentral
GGACCAUCAUGUCGGUCGUGCCUCGGUACGUACUGGUAUUGUUGGUUUCUCCCUUCUGACGAACCAUGAUGUCAUUUAUUUGGUGUUGUGGGGAAUCAGGACUGUUACUUUGAAAAAAUUAGAGUGUUUAAAGCAGGCUCACGCUUGAAUACAUUAGCAUGGAAUAAUGAAAUAGGACGUUUGAUUCUAUUUUGUUGGGUUCUAGGCAUCGACGUA